Molecule: long non-coding RNA, 568 nt
Organism: Panthera uncia (snow leopard)
Lineage: Eukaryota; Metazoa; Chordata; Mammalia; Carnivora; Felidae
Exons: 2
Source: RefSeq, a predicted model, not a curated record
AACUUUUGUUUUCUCUAUAGGUAAUAAUCGUCUUUUUUCUUUUCUUUGUUUUCUUAGUGGUUACUAUUAAUUCAGUUACUAACCUCUUUGUGAGUUGUCUAAAUCUCUUGGGUACGUCCAGACAUGUCCUAGAGGUAGAUACUCUAUUCAGUGGUCUGUGCAUCUCAUCUAUCUCCCUGUCUUCCCUGGCCACAUGCCCAAGGCCAUCACUGCUUCCUCUUCCUGGUGUGGAGACCAUAGUUACUUUGUUUUGUUUCUUCAAGCCACAGCAGUCUGGUUUCCACAUGCCCCACGGCUCUGCAGUGACCUUUGUCAAGGUCAGGUUUGUGUUGCUAAAUCUGAUGGGCGCAUUUCUUUUUCAUCUUUAUGUCUCAGCUGCAUUUCACACCCUGGACAUUGGACUUCCUUGAAGCAGUUUUUUAUUUUUUAUUUUUUUAUUUUAUCAUCUGUAUCUACCUUGUGUUGUGUUCUUCCAGAAGCAGACCCUGAGGAAAGAUUUGGCAGAGAGAAGAAGGAGCUGUACCAUUCAACAUCAAGGAAGAAUUGUUAAUUAUAGAUCCCAACAGAA